CCAGAUCGUUUACCGUGAAAAAAUUAGAGUGUUCAAAGCGGGCAGAUAUUUUUCCUGCCACCGAAUACAUUAGCAUGGGAUAAUGGAAUAGGACCCUGACCUCCUAUUUUCAGUUGGUUUUGUUUACAGCGAGGUUCAUCAGGGUAAUGAUUAAUAGGGAUAGUUGGGGGCAUUAAUAUUUAAUUGUCAGAGGUGAAAUUCUUGGAUUUAUGAAAGAUUAACUUCUGCGAAAGCGUUUGCCAAGGAUGUUUUCAUUAAUCAAGAACGAAAGUUAGGGGAUCGAAGACGAUCAGAUACCGUCGUAGUCUUAACCAUAAACGAUGCCGACCAGCGAUUAGGAGACGUUGAAUACAAAACACCGCUGUUAAUCGUUUCGGGGGUUAAUAGU
This 388-nucleotide ribosomal RNA is filed under the name Acanthamoeba genotype T5. Its description in RNAcentral is "SSU rRNA". It matches the Rfam family "Eukaryotic small subunit ribosomal RNA", at positions 743 to 1104 of the family's 1831-position model. The record is from RNAcentral. Lineage: Eukaryota; Discosea; Longamoebia; Acanthamoebidae.